Molecule: non-coding RNA, 278 nt
Organism: Anas platyrhynchos (mallard)
Lineage: Eukaryota; Metazoa; Chordata; Aves; Anseriformes; Anatidae
Source: RefSeq, a predicted model, not a curated record
UCUGCUUGUGCUGCAGCCUGGUGCAGGGAGCUGAGAGGUGCUGUAAGGGUCCCUGCUGUCUUCAGGAUUACAGCUUCAGAGGGCAGCAGAAGGAUGUGAUAGAAUAGCAGGAACCCAAAUGCCACCUCAAUAUUCAAGCCACUCGUUCCUGCACGAAGCAGCACGCUCCCUUUGGAGCCGUUCCUGGCAGGGGGAUCGCGCUGUGGAAGCGUUUGUUCUGGGAAAGCAGCGGCACAAAUGUGGAAAAGAUUAAAGCGGAGGCUUUUACGUCAAAAUCA